UGAACGGGAUUCCGUCUGAGUUGUCUUGGUUGGUGUUGGUUGCGCUCCACCUUCCGCCAAGAAACCUGCAAACAGCCUUGCACCACCACCAGGGUGGUGAUGGCCCUCCGACGGUCAAGUCAGAGGAGAUUGGAGGAGGAGGAGAGGUGAUAAUCGCAAGUAAGAGAGUGCUCUGGGAGAUAUUGCUCACCUCCCCCCCUUUCUCCC
This 207-nucleotide long non-coding RNA is filed under the name Phoenix dactylifera (date palm). Its description in RNAcentral is "long non-coding RNA (PDAC_LNC014670)". Lineage: Eukaryota; Viridiplantae; Streptophyta; Magnoliopsida; Arecales; Arecaceae. The record is from RNAcentral.